GACGAACGCUGGCGGCGUGCUUAACACAUGCAAGUCGAACGGAAAGGCCCCUUUGGGGGUACUCGAGUGGCGAACGGGUGAGUAACACGUGAGUAACCUGCCCUUGACUUCGGGAUAACUUCAGGAAACUGGGGCUAAUACCGGAUAGGAAUCCUUGCUGCAUGGUGGGGGUUGGAAAGCUUCGGCGGUUUUGGAUGGACUCGCGGCUUAUCAGCUUGUUGGUGGGGUAGUGGCUUACCAAGGCUUUGACGGGUAGCCGGCCUGAGAGGGCGACCGGCCACAUUGGGACUGAGAUACGGCCCAGACGCCUACGGGAGGCAGCAGUGGGGAAUAUUGAACAAUGGGCGGAAGCCGGAUGCAGCAACGCCGCGUGCGGGAUGACGGACUUCGGGUUGGAAACCGCUUUCAGCAGGGGCGAAGCUUGUGGUGACGGUACCUGCAGAAGAAGCACCGGCUAACUACGUG
RNAcentral lists this ribosomal RNA (465 nucleotides) under uncultured bacterium. RNAcentral describes it as "partial 16S ribosomal RNA". It matches the Rfam family "Bacterial small subunit ribosomal RNA", at positions 28 to 507 of the family's 1533-position model. The record is from RNAcentral.